CAGCCGCCGCGGGAAUACGAAGGGGGCUAGCGUUGUUCGGAUUUACUGGGCGUAAAGGGCGCGUAGGCGGGCUGAUAAGUCAGGGGUGAAAUCCCAAGGCUCAACCUUGGAACUGCCUUUGAUACUGUUUGUCUUGAGUUCGAGAGAGGUAAGUGGAACUGCGAGUGUAGAGGUGAAAUUCGUAGAUAUUCGCAAGAACACCAGUGGCGAAGGCGGCUUACUGGCUCGAAACUGACGCUGAGGCGCGAAAGCGUGGGGAGCAAACAGGAUUAGAUACCCCGGUAGUCCCUGUCUCUUAUAC
Molecule: ribosomal RNA, 301 nt
Filed under: uncultured bacterium
Lineage: Bacteria
Description: partial 16S ribosomal RNA
Rfam family: Bacterial small subunit ribosomal RNA
Source: RNAcentral